GGGCCCGUCUUUGGUUUCGACAGGGAUAGGGAAGGUAGAACUGCAAGUCGGAGGGACACGUCAAGUCCAAACUUAAAUAUAACUGGAAACAGAAAUUCUAAUUUAGUACCUUCAUUUGCCUAAGGCUAUAGGUACACUCUUUUAACUUCUUUGCUCACGGGGAGUUUUAAGGGUUCGCUUUUAGUGAGAUUAGUUAUUACUUAGCCUAGAAGUAAUAAUGAAUUAGAUAGGCUUGCUUAAAGAUUAGGUUGUUAGUUACCGUUCUUUUAGGACUUCUAAUAACUAACUAAACUUGUAGAGGUUUUAUUGGAACUUUCUUUGGACAGGAGUUCGACUCUCCUCGGGUCCACCA
This 352-nucleotide transfer-messenger RNA is filed under the name Bacilli. RNAcentral describes it as "Coprosoma intestinipullorum Standard tmRNA". It matches the Rfam family "transfer-messenger RNA". From Rfam's summary of the family: Bacterial tmRNA, also known as 10Sa RNA or SsrA, is named for its dual tRNA and mRNA-like properties. Its role is to liberate the mRNA from a stalled ribosome. To accomplish this part of the tmRNA is used as a reading frame that ends in a translation stop signal. Lineage: Bacteria; Bacillati; Bacillota. RNAcentral also lists the same sequence under 2 other names. The record is from RNAcentral.